RNAcentral lists this ribosomal RNA (164 nucleotides) under uncultured bacterium. Its description in RNAcentral is "partial 16S ribosomal RNA". It matches the Rfam family "Bacterial small subunit ribosomal RNA", at positions 1336 to 1500 of the family's 1533-position model. The record is from RNAcentral.
UAGUAAUGGCAGGUCAGCAUACUGCCGUGAAUACGUUCCCGGGCCUUGUACACACCGCCCGUCACACCAUGAGAGUUGGGAAUACCCGAAGCCUGUGAGCUAACAUUAUGAGGCAGCAGUCGAAGGUAGAAUCAAUGAUUGGGGUGAAGUCGUAACAAGGUAGC